Molecule: non-coding RNA, 453 nt
Organism: Apodemus sylvaticus (European woodmouse)
Lineage: Eukaryota; Metazoa; Chordata; Mammalia; Rodentia; Muridae
Source: the annotation of a RefSeq genome assembly
AACUUCUUCAUAGCCAGCUCACACCCUGUGCUGGAGUAAGCUUCACACAUAUCUCACACAGACAUGAGUGCUCCUAAUCAGAUGCUGGGGUUGCUGCUGCUGUUCUGUUUUACAGGUGCAAGAUGUGACAUCAAGAUGACACAGUCUCCUGCCUCCCUAUCAGCAACUUUGGGAGAGACUGUCACAAUUACAUGCCAGGCAAGUCAGGACAUCAGCUGGUCUUUAGCAUGGUAUCAGCAGAAACCAGAGAACUCUCCUAAGCUCCUGAUCUAUAGUGGAAACACCUUGGAAAAUGGUGUCCCAUCAAGAUUUAGUGGCAGUAAAUCUGGCACACAGUUUUCUCUCAAAAUCAGCAGCCUGCAAUCUGAAGAUGCUGCAAUGUAUUACUGCCAACAGGGCUACAGUAAUCCUCUCACAGUGAUUAAAGCCAUGACAUAAACCUCCCGGGGAAGA